RNAcentral lists this ribosomal RNA (273 nucleotides) under uncultured bacterium. RNAcentral describes it as "partial 16S ribosomal RNA". It matches the Rfam family "Bacterial small subunit ribosomal RNA", at positions 524 to 796 of the family's 1533-position model. The record is from RNAcentral.
UACGGAGGGUGCAAGCGUUAAUCGGAAUUACUGGGCGUAAAGCGCGCGUAGGUGGUUUGUUAAGUCAGAUGUGAAAGCCCAGGGCUCAACCUUGGAACUGCAUCUGAUACUGGCAGGCUAGAGUAUGGUAGAGGGAGGUAGAAUUCCACGUGUAGCGGUGAAAUGCGUAGAGAUGUGGAGGAACAUCAGUGGCGAAGGCGGCCCCCUGGCCAAAGACUGACGCUCAUGUGCGAAAGUGUGGGUAGCGAACAGGAUUAGAUACCCGCGUAGUCC